GCACAUUAGCUUCAAAUAGAUGAAUACAAACUCAGCCAUUAGCUUCAAAUAAGCCAAACCAAUUUAAGUGCUACAUACACAAAUAAGAAUUCUUAUUAUUAUAAAAAAAAUUUUUUAAUGUAUUAUUGGCCAAGGUCCUGUCAAAACAGGUGGGUUUUCACUCUACGCUGGAAGGUGUGGAGACUUUCUGCUAACUAGUUUUAUUUUAGUUUUAUUUUAGGGGUAUUUGGGUCCCACAGGAGUAACGAGUCGAUUGGCCGAUGCAGAGCAAAGUGAGCAAGCUGGGGUAUAUGGUUUGACCAUGGCCUGGAUGUAGGAAGGAGCUGACCCAUUCCAGGCACGGAAGGCCAGCACCAGAGUCUUGAAGCAGAUUAGGUCACCACUGGUAACCAGUGAAGGGAGCGGAGGAGCGGUGUAGUGUGGGAGAACUUGGGGAGGUUGAAGACCAGUCGGGCUUCUGCAUUCUGGAUGAGCUGUAGAGGUCUGAUGGCACUUGUAGGUAGACCAGCAAGGAGGAACACUUCCUCAAUUCCCCUUCCAAACUUAGUUUUCACCUGUUCUCACAGGUGAAAAAAAAGUAACUUAAAAAAUGAUCCAGGCAAAUUCUCUAGAAGAGACACCUUCUGCUAAGGUGGCACAGUUAGUAAAAACCAUUGUUAUAUAGAGGCUACGUUUACUGGGGAUGAUAAGAAGUUAAUCUAGUGCGCUAGGCUAGAAGCUAAACUAGGAGCUACAUUAACAAGGCAGCAACAAAGGCUGCCCCUAACAGUAAAUUAGCUUUAAUGUAUUUAGCAUCUGCAUCUUUUAUUUAUUUUGUCUGAUUAAUGAUUAAUGAUGUGUUCAUUUCAGAAUGAUCGUGUGGUGAUAGCUUCGGAUGGCAUCGGGUUGCAAAACCAUCCCAUGGCAGCUGGGUUCAAUAAUGUCUCUUUCUCUGCUGACGCCGGAAAGAGCCUCACGGAGGGGUGAGGCAGGAGGAGCGGCGGUUCUGCCACCUAUAGGUGGCUUUUUGAAAAUGAGGCGAUAUCACAGCAGCAGAACUGCUUGUGUCGCCGUUACAUGACACACACACACACACACACACACACACACACACACACACACACACACACACACACACACACACACACACUUACAUAAAGAAAACACAAGCACAGCCCGCAUAUUGCAACACUAAUGAAGGCCUAAUCAGUGGUGCUGCCUCAGAUCUGAUGGAGGCCUCGAGGGUCACAGCUCUCUUCCGGUGGACAGACAGAUGGAAGUCAUAAGGAAGAACGUCUAAGGUGUCUUGGGCAGAAAUUAGUUGAACUUUCUUUCAAUCGAGACGGUGUCUGACCUGUGAAUGGCAAAAAUGGUUGCAUUGAGAUUUAGGAUCCAUUUUGGAACUGUAAGGAAGCAUAAACUUGGGGCAUGGAGCUUGAGAGAAAUGUGAGUUCACAGUCGAGGAGGCUCUAAUGAAUGACACUAUCAAGUUGCACUUUGGGACAAGAGCUUGAAUAACAUUAAAAAGUAAAAAUAUAUGUCUCAAUCUGUCUCUUACAAGCACCCUAACUUUAUAGAAAGUUGUGCAGUGCCCCUUUAAAGAGAAAAGAGCAGCUUUAAACGGACAGGUUAAACCUUGAAAAAAGAUUAAAGGGUUAUAAAGAAAGUUGACAUGUAACGGAGCUCUUUGGAGAAAGUCUGUUGAAGGGAUGUAUUCUUUUGGAUUGGUUGGAGAGUUAACUUUGCUCUGCUUUGAAACAAGACAUAAUUGAGC
Cottoperca gobio is the source of this 1753-nucleotide long non-coding RNA. Lineage: Eukaryota; Metazoa; Chordata; Actinopteri; Perciformes; Bovichtidae. The record is from Ensembl.